CCUACGGGAGGCAGCAGUAGGGAAUUUUCGUCAAUGGGCGCAAGCCUGAACGAGCGAUGCCGCGUGAGUGAAGAAGGCCUUCGGGUCGUAAAGCUCUGUUGCGGGGGAAAAAAGGCAGCAUCAGGAAAUGGGUGCUGACUGAUGGUGCCCCGCCAGAAAGUCACGGCUAACUACGUGCCAGCAGCCGCGGUAAUACGUAGGUGGCGAGCGUUAUCCGGAAUGGUUGGGCGUAAAGGGUGCGCAGGCGGUCCUGCAAGUCUGGAGUGAAACGCAUGAGCUCAACUCAUGCAUGGCUUUGGAAAGUGGAGGACUGGAGAGCAGGAGAGGGCGGUGGAACUCCAUGGGUAGCGGUAAAAUGCGUAGGUAUAUGGAAGAACACCAGUGGCGAAGGCGGCCGCCUGGCCUGUUGCUGACGCUGAGGCACGAAAGCGUGGGGAGCAAAUAGGAUUAGAUACCCUUGUAGUC
RNAcentral lists this ribosomal RNA (465 nucleotides) under uncultured bacterium. Its description in RNAcentral is "partial 16S ribosomal RNA". It matches the Rfam family "Bacterial small subunit ribosomal RNA", at positions 338 to 795 of the family's 1533-position model. The record is from RNAcentral.